Molecule: ribosomal RNA, 404 nt
Filed under: uncultured bacterium
Lineage: Bacteria
Description: bacterial SSU rRNA
Rfam family: Bacterial small subunit ribosomal RNA
Source: RNAcentral
GGGCCCGCACAAGCGGUGGAGUAUGUGGUUAAUUCGAUGCAACGCGAAGAACCUUACCAGGCCUUGACAUCCCCGGAACUUUCUAGAGAUAGAUUGGUGCCUUCGGGAACCGGGUGACAGGUGCUGCAUGGCCGUCGUCAGCUCGUGUCGUGAGAUGUUUGGUUAAGUCCAGCAACGAGCGCAACCCCUGUGGAUAGUUGCCAGCACGUAAUGGUGGGGACUCUAUCCAGACUGCCCAGGUCAACUGGGAGGAAGGUGGGGAUGACGUCAGGUCAGUAUGGCCCUUACGCCUAGGGCUGCACACGUACUACAAUGCCCAGUACAAUGAGAACCGAGACCGCGAGGUGGAGGAAAUCUGCAAAACUGGGCCCAGUUCGGAUUGGAGGCUGCAACUCGCCUCCAUG